This 74-nucleotide transfer RNA is filed under the name Lentisphaeria bacterium. Its description in RNAcentral is "tRNA-Arg". It matches the Rfam family "tRNA". From Rfam's summary of the family: Transfer RNA (tRNA) molecules are approximately 80 nucleotides in length. Lineage: Bacteria; Pseudomonadati; Lentisphaerota; Lentisphaeria. The record is from RNAcentral.
GCCCCGGUAGCUCAGUUGGAUAGAGCAACAGCCUUCUAAGCUGUGGGUCAACCGUUCGAAUCGGUUCCGGGGUA